AAAAUUCUGUGGUGUACGCGUUGUCUAAACGCAGGUUUGCCUUACAGUCUUAUAAAAUUGGGACUAGUGUUUUGCUAGUUGGCCAGUAUGCCUUUUCACUUGGUAACUGAAUAACUAGCAACCGUGUCCCACCUGUCUUAAACACAGGUCAACACUGAAUGACAAUUAACGGCACUAACGGAGUUUUC
RNAcentral lists this non-coding RNA (188 nucleotides) under Limosilactobacillus fastidiosus. RNAcentral describes it as "Limosilactobacillus sp. WF-MO7-1 6S RNA". It matches the Rfam family "6S / SsrS RNA". Rfam says of the family: E. coli 6S RNA was the first non coding RNA to be sequenced, but its function was unknown until recently. It consists of 184 nucleotides that fold into an extended hairpin structure with a large single-stranded internal bulge. The 6S RNA specifically associates with RNA polymerase holoenzyme containing the sigma70 specificity factor. Lineage: Bacteria; Bacillati; Bacillota; Bacilli; Lactobacillales; Lactobacillaceae. The record is from RNAcentral.